UACGGGGGGAGCAAGCGUUGUUCGGAUUUACUGGGCGUAAAGGGCGCGUAGGCGGUCAGCACAAGUCAGUUGUGAAAUCUCCGGGCUUAACUCGGAAAGGUCAACUGAUACUGUGCGACUAGAGUGCGGAAGGGGCAACUGGAAUUCUCGGUGUAGCGGUGAAAUGCGUAGAUAUCGAGAGGAACACCUGCGGCGAAGGCGGGUUGCUGGGCCGACACUGACGCUGAUGCGCGAAAGCUAGGGGAGCAAACAGG
RNAcentral lists this ribosomal RNA (254 nucleotides) under uncultured bacterium. RNAcentral describes it as "partial 16S ribosomal RNA". It matches the Rfam family "Bacterial small subunit ribosomal RNA", at positions 524 to 776 of the family's 1533-position model. The record is from RNAcentral.